GCAUAUCAAUAAGCGGAGGAAAAGAAACCAACAGGGAUUGCCUCAGUAGCGGCGAGUGAAGCGGCAAAAGCUCCAUUUUGAAAGCUCUUCGGAGCGUUGUAGAUUGGUGGGAAGCUAACGGCUGGUGGGAGACCAAGUCCUCUGGAACGAGGCGCCAUAGAGGGUGAGAGCCCCGUGUGUCUCCUUUACCGACCUUUCAGCCCCCUCCGCGGAGUCGAGUUGUUUGGGAAUGCAGCUCUAAGUGGGUGGUAAAUUCCAUCUAAGGCUAAAUAUUGGCGAGAGACCGAUAGCGAACAAGUACAGUGAUGGAAAGAUGAAAAGCACUUUGAAAAGAGAGUGAAACAGUACGUGAAAUUGUUGAAAGGGAAGGGUAUUUGGCCCGACAUGGGUCCUAUGCACCGUUGCCUCUCGUGGGCGGCGCUCUGCUUGGGCCUGGGCCAGCGUCAGUUUGGAGGGGGCGAGAAGGGUUUUGGGGAGUUGCCUAGCAAUUCCCCUUUGCUAGAUUGCCCCACACCGGACUGAGGACCGCCAUCUGUAGGAUGCUGGCACAACGGCCAAAUACCGCCCGUCUUGAAACACGGACC
Molecule: ribosomal RNA, 584 nt
Filed under: uncultured fungus
Lineage: Eukaryota; Fungi
Description: eukaryotic LSU rRNA
Rfam family: Eukaryotic large subunit ribosomal RNA
Source: RNAcentral